Molecule: ribosomal RNA, 279 nt
Filed under: uncultured archaeon
Lineage: Archaea
Description: partial 16S rRNA
Rfam family: Archaeal small subunit ribosomal RNA
Source: RNAcentral
GAGACCUGUAUCCACCGUUGCUAACGCGUCCGUAAGGAUGAGCGAGCACACUGUGGAGACUGCCUUCGAAAGAAGGAGGAAGGCGCAGGCCACGGUAGGUCUGUACGCCCCGAAUCUCCUGGGCAACACGCGCGCAACAAUGGUUGUGACAAUAGGAUGCAACACCGAAAGGUGAAGCCAACCCUCUAAACACAACCUUAGUAUGAAUUGAGGGCUGCAACUCGCCCUCAUGACAUCGGAAUCCCUAGUAAUCAGAGGUUAGCAUCCUCCGGUGAAUAU